RNAcentral lists this ribosomal RNA (1378 nucleotides) under metagenome. RNAcentral describes it as "bacterial SSU rRNA". It matches the Rfam family "Archaeal small subunit ribosomal RNA". The record is from RNAcentral.
AGGGGCUCUUCGGAGUCACAGGCAAAAUGCUCAGUAACACGUCGUUAAUCUAACCUUAGAUCUGGAAUAACCUUGGAAAACUGAGGCUAAAACCGGAUAUGGGAAAAUAAUUGGAAAAUGUUUUCCUUUAAAAGCAAUGUCUAAGGAUGAGACGGCGGCGGAUUAGGUUGUUGGCGGGGUAAUGGCCCACCAAGCCGACGAUCCGUAGGGGCCGUGAGAGCGGUAGCCCCGAGAAGGACACUGAGAUACUGGUCCUAGCCCUACGGGGUGCAGCAGGCGCGAAACCUUUACAAUGCACGAAAGUGUGAUAAGGGAACCCUAAGUGCUCAUGUUUUACAUGGGCUUUUGCCAAGAAUAGAUAUCUUGGCGAAUAAGUGGUGGGAAAGACUGGUGCCAGCAGCCGCGGUAACACCAGCGCCACAAGUAGGGACCACUACUAUUGGGCCUAAAGCGUCCGUAGCCGGCUGAAUAAAUUUCUUGUGAAAUUGUUGGGCUUAACCUAACAACGUGCAGGAGAAACUGUUCAGCUUGGAACCGGGAGAAGUCAGGAGUAUGCUGGGGGGAGCGGUAAAAUGUUAUAAUCCCCGGUAGACUACCAGUGGCGAAGGCGCCUGACUAGAACGGAUUCGACGGUGAGGGACGAAAGCCAGGGGAGCGAAGCGGAUUAGAUACCCGUGUAGUCCUGGCCGUAAACGCUGCGAGCUAGGUGUUGCAUAUUCUACAUGAAUAUGCAGUAUCGAAGCGAAGGUGAUAAGCUCGCCGCCUGGGAAGUAUGGUCGCAAGGCUGAAACUUAAAGGAAUUGGCGGGGGAGCACUACAAGGGGUGCGGCGUGCGGUUUAAUCUAAUUCAACGCAGAGAAUCUCGCCAGAAGCGACGGCAGGAUGAAAGUCAGGCUAAAGGUCUUACUUGACGAGCCGAGAGGUAGUGCAUGGCCGCCGUCAGCUCGUGCUGUAAAGUGUCCUGUUAAGUCAGGCAACGAGCGAGACCUGCAUCUACAAUUGCUAACGGAUUCUUUAGAAUGACUGAGCACAUUGUGGAGACUGCCCCGGAAACAGGGAGGAAGGUGCAGACUACGGUAGGUCUGUAUGCUCCGAAUCUUCUGGGCUACACGCGCGCAACAAUGGUAAGGACAAUGGGAUGCGACUCCGAAAGGAGGAGCUAAUCCUCGAAACCUUAUCCAAGUCUAGAUUGAGGAUUGUAACUCAUCCUCAUGACAAUGGAAUCCCUAGUAAUCAGAGUUUAUCAUACUCCGGUGAACAUGUCCCUGCUCCUUGCACACACCGCCCGUCAAGCCACCCGAGUAGGGUUUAGGUGAGAGGUAAAUUUUAUUUGCAUCGAACCUAAGCUCAGCGAGGAGGGCUAAGUCGUCACAAGGUA